UUCCGGUUGAUCCUGCCGCCGGCCACCGCUAUCAAGUUCCGACUAAGCCAUGCGAGUCAAGGUAUCGUAAGAUGCCGGCACACUGCUCAGUAACACGUGGACAAUCUAACCUUGAGUAAGGGAUAACCUCGGAAAACUGAGGGUAAUACCUUAUAAUUGCUUAAAACUGGAAUGUUUAGGCAAUAAAAACUCCGGUGCUCAAGGAUGAGUCUGCGACCUAUCAGGUAGUAGGUGGUGUAAUGGACCACCUAGCCUCAGACGGGUACGGGCCCUGGGAGGGGUAGCCCGGAGAUGGACUCUGAGACAUAAGUCCAGGCCCUACGGGGCGCAGCAGGCGCGAACACUGUGCAAUGCGCGAAAGCGCGACACGGGGAGCUUGAGUGUCUUGGCAUAGCCAAGACUUUUCUCAUUCCUAAAAAGCAUGAGGAAUAAGUGCUGGGUAAGACGGGUGCCAGCCGCCGCGGUAACACCCGCAGCACAAGUGGUGGUCACUUUUAUUGAGCCUAAAGCGUUCGUAGCCGGUUUUGUAAAUCUUUAGAUAAAGCCUGAAGCUUAACUCCAGAAAGUCUGAAGAGACUGCAAGACUUGAGAUCGGGUGAGGUUAAACGUACUUUCAGGGUAGGGGUAAAAUCCUGUAAUCCCGGAAGGACGACCAGUGGCGAAAGCGUUUAACUAGAACGAAUCUGACGGUAAGGAACGAAGGCUAGGGUAGCAAACCGGAUUAGAUACCCGGGUAGUCCUAGCUGUAAACACUGCCCAUUUGAUGUUGCUUUUCCGUUGAGGGAAGGCAGUGUCGGAGCGAAGGUGUUAAAUGGGCCGCUUGGGAAGUAUGGUCGCAAGACUGAAACUUAAAGGAAUUGGCGGGGGAGCACCGCAACGGGAGGAAUGUGCGGUUUAAUUGGAUUCACCGCCGGGA
This 916-nucleotide ribosomal RNA is filed under the name uncultured archaeon. Its description in RNAcentral is "bacterial SSU rRNA". It matches the Rfam family "Archaeal small subunit ribosomal RNA", at positions 1 to 923 of the family's 1478-position model. The record is from RNAcentral.